This 274-nucleotide long non-coding RNA is filed under the name Eutrema salsugineum. Its description in RNAcentral is "long non-coding RNA (ESAL_LNC001847)". The record is from RNAcentral. Lineage: Eukaryota; Viridiplantae; Streptophyta; Magnoliopsida; Brassicales; Brassicaceae.
CAGGUUGGUCUUCAGCGUCAACAUCUUCUACGUUCAUGUCAACACUCAAUGGUAAUGGCACAGCAUCUGCCUCAUCACUGUCUGCCUCAGUGUAUCUCCUUGAAGGCCCUCUCAUAACCACAUACCAAUUUGAAGACUCGUCCUCUCUGGAAUAGAAUAUUUGCUUAGCUUGAGAUGCCAGAAUGAAUGGAUCCCUUGCGAAAGAGACUUGACUUUGGUUCAAGUUGACCAACGUAAAACCUUCGUCCACCUUCACACCGUUGCCUCUGACCGC